GGCUUCAUAGCUCAGUUGGUUAGAGCGUUGCACCACUAUUGAGAGGUCACGAGUUCAACCCUGUUGAAGUCC
This 72-nucleotide transfer RNA is filed under the name Acropora cervicornis. Its description in RNAcentral is "tRNA-Ser". It matches the Rfam family "tRNA". Rfam says of the family: Transfer RNA (tRNA) molecules are approximately 80 nucleotides in length. Their secondary structure includes four short double-helical elements and three loops (D, anti-codon, and T loops). Lineage: Eukaryota; Metazoa; Cnidaria; Anthozoa; Scleractinia; Acroporidae. The record is from RNAcentral.